UGAGAGUAUGAUAGUGUGUGUGAGAGAGUUUGAUUGAUACGGAAACGAGUUUGAUUGAAACGGAAGUAAUAUUAAAUUCUCAGUACCUGAUUGGUGGAAGACGCGGGAUUUCACAGACAUGUCCCGCCUUCCUCAUUAUUACUGAUAGGAGAGGAUAGUGGACCGAGAGAGAAUCAAUGGAGCAUCGGCCUGUUAACAUUUUAAACUUUUCCACCGCUGCCACAUCCAUGUCAGAAAUGUGGAUUUAAACCCGACAGCCCGACAGGAGUCUAAACGCGGCCGCGGAGGAAGAGAUGCGGUGAAGCUUUAUAUCCGAACCAUCAGCCGAGUGCUGCGAGCUCCAUAUCAGACCCAACCACAGAGAGCAGCGGCUCCAGAGUCAGGGGACAGUAUUGAACUUUUGAUGGCAUGAGGAAACAAACUGGUUUCACCGAAGUUGCACGAGGGCCAGAAACUAAAUGGCUUCAUGAUUGACAAUACAUUUACAUCAAAGGCAGUGUACAUUAGACAAUGACACAUUUACGUUUGUCAUCACAGAUUUAGAGGACAGUGGUGUGGAGGUUGACACGACAACAGCAUCUAGUGACCACAGAAGUACCACACCAGUCAUUGUAUGACUACAAGGACUAAGGAUACCUUAAUCCACCUGAGUGACAGAUUAUUUGCUGUUGAGACUGUUCUGAAAUAUUUGGUUUCUGCAUGCAACAAUAAAUAAGAAACAUUUGUUUGCUUGGGACAAGAUCUUUGUUAACCAGUAUAAUAGUGAUUUCCUGACCUGUCCAUAACUUGAUAAUAAAUAUCUAAAUAUUA
Molecule: long non-coding RNA, 810 nt
Organism: Trichomycterus rosablanca
Lineage: Eukaryota; Metazoa; Chordata; Actinopteri; Siluriformes; Trichomycteridae
Exons: 3
Source: RefSeq, a predicted model, not a curated record